RNAcentral lists this long non-coding RNA (529 nucleotides) under Hordeum vulgare. Its description in RNAcentral is "long non-coding RNA (HVUL_LNC019564)". The record is from RNAcentral. Lineage: Eukaryota; Viridiplantae; Streptophyta; Magnoliopsida; Poales; Poaceae.
UGCGUAGUUGGUGGCCGCCGCGGCGCGGAUGGGGGUACUGGGAGGCAGUGUGAGGGUUGCGCUCACCUCGUCUGUCCACAUCUAAACAUUGUUCUCGUUCUAUUAAUAAAACAAUGCAUAUGCUAAUUAACUUCUUUUAAUGUACACGAUACAGAUGAGACACCUCUCUUAGUUUGGGCCGAGGAGAUUUCGGGACGAUUUAAUGGGCUUUGUUAAAUCAAUAAAGCUAUGAUAGACUUUCCUAAACAAGAGCACUAGAAAACGGAUCUUAUUGUAUCGUGCCAAUUCGUUGAGCCCCUAAAAGAAACCUGGGAGAAAGCAUUGGACAUGUAGUAGUGUCGAAAUAAGAAAAGAAACGAAAAAAGAAAUCUGACCUACCGGAUUCAAAUCAGUAACCGGGGCUUAGGGUAUCAUGCCAAUUCAUUGAAACACUGGAAACCGGGGCUUAGAGUAUCAUGCCAAUUCAUUGAACCCCUAAAAGAAAACUGGAAGGAAGCAUUUGGACCUGUAAUAAUGUCAAAAAAGAAAA